RNAcentral lists this transfer RNA (71 nucleotides) under Candidatus Dojkabacteria bacterium. RNAcentral's name for it is "tRNA-Gln". It matches the Rfam family "tRNA". Rfam says of the family: Transfer RNA (tRNA) molecules are approximately 80 nucleotides in length. The record is from RNAcentral.
CGGAUGUGGCGCAAUGGUAGCGCACCUGAAUUUGGAUCAGGAGGUUAUAGGUUCGAGCCCUAUCAUCCGUA